GGAGAGGUGGCUGAGUCCGGUUUAAGGCACACGAUUCGAAAUCGUGCGUAGGCUUAUACCCUACCGUGGGUUCGAAUCCCACCCUCUCCGCCA
Molecule: transfer RNA, 93 nt
Filed under: Roseibacillus sp.
Lineage: Bacteria; Pseudomonadati; Verrucomicrobiota; Verrucomicrobiia; Verrucomicrobiales; Verrucomicrobiaceae
Also listed under: 1 other name
Description: tRNA-Ser
Rfam family: tRNA
About the family: Transfer RNA (tRNA) molecules are approximately 80 nucleotides in length. Their secondary structure includes four short double-helical elements and three loops (D, anti-codon, and T loops). Further hydrogen bonds mediate the characteristic L-shaped molecular structure. tRNAs have two regions of fundamental functional importance: the anti-codon, which is responsible for specific mRNA codon recognition, and the 3' end, to which the tRNAs corresponding amino acid is attached (by aminoacyl-tRNA synthetases). tRNAs cope with the degeneracy of the genetic code in two manners: having more than one tRNA (with a specific anti-codon) for a particular amino acid; and 'wobble' base-pairing, i.e. permitting non-standard base-pairing at the 3rd anti-codon position.
Source: RNAcentral